UGAUUCUGAAUUGGUCUGAAAUGUUCUAUCUGUAUAGUAAUGCCUCAUAACCCUAAUCCGAUGUUGGUUACAGGUUAGGGGUGUUACAUGGGAGUUGUUUGAGAUCUCAUCACACUGUCCAGCUAUUGUUUCGGUACCUUUUGAACUUUGGAUAUUUAGAUUAAAUGACAUGUAUAGGUAUUGUGGAUAAUAUGGUCUAUAUGGGUUUGUGAUGUGUAUAGCCAAUUGAAUUAGCUUGUAAUUGAUAUAUGUAAAGGUUAUGUGUUUAGCCAUGUGAUUUGGCUUAUUUUGGUAUACUUGGUGAUGUAUAUAUAUGUGCAAAUGGCC
RNAcentral lists this long non-coding RNA (327 nucleotides) under Gossypium barbadense (sea-island cotton). RNAcentral's name for it is "long non-coding RNA (GBAR_LNC010334)". Lineage: Eukaryota; Viridiplantae; Streptophyta; Magnoliopsida; Malvales; Malvaceae. The record is from RNAcentral.